CCUGCCUAUCAGAGAGGGAUACCGUUUGGAAACGAACGUUAAUACCACAUAACGUAACGAUACCGCAUGGUAAUGUUACCAAAGAUUUUAUCGCUGAUAGAUGGCCUCGCGUCUGAUUAGAUAGUUGGUGAGGUAACGGCUCACCAAGUCGACGAUCGUUAGCCGGACUGAGAGGUUGAACGGCCACAUUGGGACUGAGACACGGCCCAGACUCCUACGGGAGGCAGCAGUGAGGAAUAUUGGGCAAUGGGCGCAAGCCUGACCCAGCAAUGCCGCGUGAAGGAAGACGGUUUUCGGAUUGUAAACUUCUUUUAAGAGGGACGAUAAUGACGGUACCUCUUGAAUAAGCCACGGCUAACUACGUG
This 365-nucleotide ribosomal RNA is filed under the name uncultured bacterium. RNAcentral describes it as "bacterial SSU rRNA". It matches the Rfam family "Bacterial small subunit ribosomal RNA", at positions 125 to 507 of the family's 1533-position model. The record is from RNAcentral.